AUGGAUUUUCAGGUGCAGAUUUUCAGCUUCCUGCUAAUCAGUAUCUCAGUUGUAAUGUCCAGAGGAGAAAAUGUGCUCACCCAGUCUCCAGCAAUCAUGUCUGCAUCUCUAGGGGAGAAGGUCACCAUGAGCUGCAGGGCCAGCUCAAGUGUAAAUUACAUGUACUGGUACCAGCAGAAGUCAGAUGCCUCCCCCAAACUAUGGAUUUAUUACACAUCCAACCUGGCUCCUGGAGUCCCAGCUCGCUUCAGUGGCAGUGGGUCUGGGAACUCUUAUUCUCUCACAAUCAGCAGCAUGGAGGGUGAAGAUGCUGCCACUUAUUACUGCCAGCAGUUUACUAGUUCCCCAUCCA
Mus musculus (house mouse) is the source of this 352-nucleotide non-coding RNA. The record is from the annotation of a RefSeq genome assembly. NCBI's taxonomy places the organism in Eukaryota, Metazoa, Chordata, Mammalia, Rodentia, Muridae.